CCCUUAGAUGUUCUGGGCCGCACGCGCGCUACACUGACGAAGUCAGCGAGCAUGUCCUACGCCGACAGGUGCGGGGAAUCUUGUCAAACUUCGUCGUGAUGGGGAUUGAUUUUUGAAAUUCUUGAUCAUAAACGAGGAAUUCCUAGUAAGCGCAAGUCAGCAGCUUGCGUUGAUUACGUCCCUGCCCUUUGUACACACCGCCCGUCGCUACUACCGAUUGAAUGGUUUAGUGAGAUCUUCGGAUUGGCGCCACUGCAGCUCAGCAAUGGGCUUGGUGGAUGCCGAAAAGUUGAUCAAACUUGAUCAUUUAGAGGAAGUAAAGGUCGUAACA
This 331-nucleotide ribosomal RNA is filed under the name uncultured eukaryote. RNAcentral's name for it is "partial 18S ribosomal RNA". It matches the Rfam family "Eukaryotic small subunit ribosomal RNA", at positions 1470 to 1796 of the family's 1831-position model. The record is from RNAcentral.